AUGGAAGAAAAGAAGGUCGGAGAAACUAAGUCCCCGGGUGGCGGUGGCUCUACAUCUAACACCGAGGACCUGGGAGACAAAUUCAAAUAUCUUAACCUACACGUAGAUGAACAGGGGGACGUCGUCUUAGAGGAAGACCUUGAGGAACUAGAGAAGGAUGCCGAAUCCAUGGCACUGGCCAGGAUUCAUACCUCACGCACUUUCAGCCAUGGAGCCUUCUUUGGAGCCAUGAGGUCCGCGUGGAAUCUUGCCCAAGAAGUGAAAUUUAGAGCAAUCAAAGACAACCUCUUUUCAGUGCAACUAUACUGCUUGGCAGAUUGGCAACGUGUGAUGCGUGACGGCCCGUGGUUAUUUCGGAUUGUGUUGAUCCAGGUAUAUUGA
RNAcentral lists this ribosomal RNA (381 nucleotides) under Triticum aestivum (bread wheat). RNAcentral's name for it is "partial small subunit ribosomal RNA". The record is from RNAcentral. Lineage: Eukaryota; Viridiplantae; Streptophyta; Magnoliopsida; Poales; Poaceae.